RNAcentral lists this transfer RNA (67 nucleotides) under Agria mihalyii. Its description in RNAcentral is "tRNA-Asp". It matches the Rfam family "tRNA". From Rfam's summary of the family: Transfer RNA (tRNA) molecules are approximately 80 nucleotides in length. Their secondary structure includes four short double-helical elements and three loops (D, anti-codon, and T loops). Further hydrogen bonds mediate the characteristic L-shaped molecular structure. tRNAs have two regions of fundamental functional importance: the anti-codon, which is responsible for specific mRNA codon recognition, and the 3' end, to which the tRNAs corresponding amino acid is attached (by aminoacyl-tRNA synthetases). tRNAs cope with the degeneracy of the genetic code in two manners: having more than one tRNA (with a specific anti-codon) for a particular amino acid; and 'wobble' base-pairing, i.e. permitting non-standard base-pairing at the 3rd anti-codon position. Lineage: Eukaryota; Metazoa; Arthropoda; Insecta; Diptera; Sarcophagidae. The record is from RNAcentral.
AAAAAAUUAGUUAAAAUUAUAACAUUAGUUUGUCAAACUAAAAUUAUCAACUCAUUGAUAUUUUUUA